Molecule: long non-coding RNA, 508 nt
Organism: Manduca sexta (tobacco hornworm)
Lineage: Eukaryota; Metazoa; Arthropoda; Insecta; Lepidoptera; Sphingidae
Exons: 2
Source: RefSeq, a predicted model, not a curated record
AGGCCUGUCCUCUUUAUAUUUAGUCAUUGUGACAGAUACAUUAAAAGUGAAAAACAAAAGAAUGGAAGGGUAGGUAAUAAGUAUCAGUAAAAGUAAAUAAAAUGAACCAUAGUGAAGUGAUACCUGACUUGAAAUAACGAAUCCAGGGCAGGUUGAGAGUCUGGGUAACGAACAACCGAAAUGAGGCAAACUCCGCUGCUAUCCCCGAAGUACCAGUUGAAGAAUUUGAAGCCUUCUGCAGGUCGCAUUCAAAAGAGGCCAUUCUCGUUUGGAAUUCUUGCUUCAGUUCUUCAAUAGUCGACCUCAAUCCAGAUUCCAUUGUGAUGUGAUGGUGUAAUGAGUGAAGUGUAGCAAGUUAAGGAUAAUGUAGGAGAAAUACACACUAAACCCGGCAGGUAGACAGUUUAGUCAAUAGUAGUAGACAUAAAAUACUGAAAAAUACUGUCUUUUACUAAUUUAUAUACUACUAUUUAUAUACUAUUUAAAUUAAAAGUAGAGCAAAACCAAA